CCGGGUGAGUAACACGUAGGAAAUCUUCCCUAGAGCGGGGGAUAACGUCCCGAAAGGGACGCUAAUACCGCAUAAGCCCACGGCGACUCCGGUCGAAGAGGGAAAAGCUGGCCACUGUAUACAUGCUAGCACUUUAGGAUGAUCCUGCGGCGCAUCAGCUAGUUGGUGGGGUAAUGGCCCACCAAGGCUUAGACGCGUAGCUGGUCUGAGAGGAUGAUCAGCCACACUGGCACUGAAACACGGGCCAGACUCCUACGGGAGGCAGCAGUGGGGAAUAUUGGACAAUGGGCGCAAGCCUGAUCCAGCCACGCCGCGUGAGUGAUGAAGGCCUUCGGGUUGUAAAGCUCUGUGGGGAGGGACGAAAACGGCGCACAAGAAACGGUGCGUCCUUGACGGUACCUCCUUAGCAAGCACCGGCUAACUCUGUGCCAGCAGCCGCGGUAAUACAGAGGGUGCGAACGUUGCUCGGAAUUACUGGGCGUAAAGCGCAUGUAGGCGGAUCCAUAAGUCGGGCGUGAAAUCCCCAGGCUCAACCUGGGAACUGCGCUCGAAACUGUAGGUCUUGAGUGUCGGAGAGGAUGGCGGAAUU
Molecule: ribosomal RNA, 589 nt
Filed under: uncultured Myxococcales bacterium
Lineage: Bacteria; Pseudomonadati; Myxococcota; Myxococcia; Myxococcales
Description: bacterial SSU rRNA
Rfam family: Bacterial small subunit ribosomal RNA
Source: RNAcentral